RNAcentral lists this ribosomal RNA (445 nucleotides) under uncultured bacterium. RNAcentral describes it as "partial 16S ribosomal RNA". It matches the Rfam family "Bacterial small subunit ribosomal RNA", at positions 354 to 796 of the family's 1533-position model. The record is from RNAcentral.
GUGAGGAAUAUUGGUCAAUGGUCGCAAGACUGAACCAGCCAUGCCGCGUGCAGGAUGAAGCAUCUAUGGUGUGUAAACUGCUUUUGUACGGGAAGAAACACUGCUACGUGUAGCAGCUUGACGGUACCGUAAGAAUAAGGAUCGGCUAACUCCGUGCCAGCAGCCGCGGUAAUACGGAGGAUCCAAGCGUUAUCCGGAAUCAUUGGGUUUAAAGGGUCCGUAGGCGGUUUAAUAAGUCAGUGGUGAAAGCCCAUCGCUCAACGAUGGAACGGCCAUUGAUACUGUUAGACUUGAAUUACAAGGAAGUAACUAGAAUAUGUAGUGUAGCGGUGAAAUGCUUAGAUAUUACAUGGAAUACCAAUUGCGAAGGCAGGUUACUACUUGUGGAUUGACGCUGAUGGACGAAAGCGUGGGGAGCGAACAGGAUUAGAAACCCGUGUAGUCC